RNAcentral lists this ribosomal RNA (236 nucleotides) under Ephemerella maculata. RNAcentral's name for it is "partial 12S ribosomal RNA". The record is from RNAcentral. Lineage: Eukaryota; Metazoa; Arthropoda; Insecta; Ephemeroptera; Ephemerellidae.
GGCGGUGGUUUAACUAAUCAGAGGAAUUUGCCCUAUAAUCGAUAACCCCCGAAUAAUCUACUUUAGGUGGCAGUCAGCUUGUAUACCGCCGUCAUCAGGAGAUCUUCGGAAAGUAUCUUCGAGGUGUUGUAUAAAAUAUGUCAGGUCAAGGUGCAGCUAAUACUCAAGCAGAGGUGAAUUACAAUAAAAUAAUUUAUUACGGGGUGUUGUAUGUAAACACAGCACGAAGGUGGAUU